Molecule: ribosomal RNA, 246 nt
Filed under: uncultured phototrophic eukaryote
Lineage: Eukaryota
Description: partial 16S ribosomal RNA
Rfam family: Bacterial small subunit ribosomal RNA
Source: RNAcentral
CCAGAGAAGAAGUCCUGACGGUAUCUGGGGAAUAAGCAUCGGCUAACUCUGUGCCAGCAGCCGCGGUAAGACAGAGGAUGCAAGCGUUAUCCGGAAUGAUUGGGCGUAAAGCGUCUGUAGGUGGCUUCUUAAGUCCGCUGUCAAAUCCCAGGGCUUAACCCUGGCCAGGCGGUGGGGACUACUAAGCUUGAGUACGGUAGGGGCAGAGGGAAUUUCCGGUGGAGCGGUGAAAUGCGUAGAGAUCGG